RNAcentral lists this long non-coding RNA (717 nucleotides) under Rattus norvegicus (Norway rat). RNAcentral describes it as "long non-coding RNA NONRATT019589". The record is from RNAcentral. Lineage: Eukaryota; Metazoa; Chordata; Mammalia; Rodentia; Muridae.
AGGGUCUUUGUGCAGUUCUGCAAAUCACUAUGUAGACCAGGCUGGCUUAGAACUCACAGAUAUCUGUCUGCUUCUGUCUCCAGAGUGCAGAGGUCCCUAGGUGUUUGUGAGCCACCAUGUCUGCCCUAGGUGUUGUGAAAUAGGUGGUGUCUAUAUCUAUAAAAAGAGGUGCUCUUUCUCCCUUUCCAGGUGAGCUCCAAAGAAGUGAAUAAGUUUCAGAUGGUAAGUUCCAUUUGCUUGCUCUCCAUUCUUCCUUGAGGCGAGCCAUGCUGCUCAGGGUAGGAACCGGACCUCACCGCUUGCCUGUGCUCUUAUUUUAUGAAAAUAGGUCACCUGGGUUUUCCCUGCUUGCCUGCCUGCCUGCCUUUUUCUUUUUCUGGUUUUCUGAGACAGGGUUUCUCUGUGUAGCCCUGUUGUCCUGGACCUCACUCUGUAGACCAGGCUGGCCUUGAUUCCUUUCCAUCUUUAAGACUAGUUCUUUCCUAAACUUCAGACAUGCUCUAUAUUGCUGAGUAGGACAUUGCCUGCAGUUUUUCCUUUUUGUUUGAAAGGAGUGUGAAGCUUGCAGCUCCCUGUGGAAUACGUCUCAGGAGCUGCUGAAGGAGUGCAGACACCGUGGCACCCGGGUUGCCAGUAUAGGUGUCGCAGUAGGCUUUCUCAUGCCAGCCACUCUAAGUCCCAUGGAAAGUCUCCUGCUUCCCAGUUUGUACCUUUUCU